GAUAGAGACCAUACCACGUUGAAAACACCGGCUCUCGUCCGAUCACCGCAGUUAAGCAACACCCGACCGUUGCUGCUACCU
RNAcentral lists this ribosomal RNA (81 nucleotides) under Schistosoma mansoni. Lineage: Eukaryota; Metazoa; Platyhelminthes; Trematoda; Strigeidida; Schistosomatidae. The record is from RNAcentral.